This is a non-coding RNA of Suncus etruscus (white-toothed pygmy shrew), 705 nucleotides long. NCBI's taxonomy places the organism in Eukaryota, Metazoa, Chordata, Mammalia, Eulipotyphla, Soricidae. The record is from the annotation of a RefSeq genome assembly.
AUGGAAUGGUUAUGGAAAAUCCUCUUCCUGCUCACAAUGGCCACAGGUGUGGACUCCCAGAAGCUGGUGCAGUCUGGGCCUGAGUUGAGGAAGCCUGGGAUAUCCGUGAAGAUCUCCUGCCAGGCAUCCGGAUACACCUUCACAAGCUACUAUAUGUACUGGGUGCAGCAGCGUCCUGGACAAGGGCUUGAGUGGAUGGGAAGAAUUGACCCUGAUAAUGCAAAUACAGUAUAUGCACAGAAGUUCCAGGGCAGAGUCACCUUCACUGCAGACAAGUCCACCAGCACAGCCUACAUGGAAUUGAAAAAUCUGAGGCCUGAGGACACAGGCACAUAUUUCUGUGCCAGACCAAUUAAGGAAAAUGUAAAACACAGAAGCAGAGGCUCUACUGGAAGACCAGCCUGGGGAGCUGAUGUUCAUAAAGCAGAAAGGUAUGGACAGAUAAUGGUGGAAAGAAAGGCCAGAUGUGCAUGGCGCGUUCCUCUGCUUCCACCUUUUCUGACGGAGCAACUCACCUCCAUGGAAGGAGAGGCCUUCAGGGGGCGAGACCAUUUGAAAAACAGAAGCCAUGGUUCUGUGGAACGUUUCUCACACAUAAGGAUAAGUACCCGCUACAGUGACUUGAUACAGCUCAGUCUAAUUUUAGAUCUCAUUCUGAAGCAUCUGAAGGAAAAUAGAUACUAUGAUGUAGACAAAGCAAUGUAG